AUUGAACGCUGGCGGCAGGCCUAACACAUGCAAGUCGAGCGGAAACGAGUUAUCUGAACCUUCGGGGGACGAUAACGGCGUCGAGCGGCGGACGGGUGAGUAAUGCCUAGGAAAUUGCCCUGAUGUGGGGAUAACCAUUGGAAACGAUGGCUAAUACCGCAUAAUGCCUACGGGCCAAAGAGGGGGACCUUCGGGCCUCUCGCGUCAGGAUUAGCCCAGGUGAGAUUAGCUAGUUGGUGAGGUAAGAGCUCACCAAGGCGACGAUCUCUAGCUGGUCUGAGAGGAUGAUCAGCCACACUGGAACUGAGACACGGUCCAGACUCCUACGGGAGGCAGCAGUGGGGAAUAUUGCACAAUGGGGGAAACCCUGAUGCAGCCAUGCCGCGUGUGUGAAGAAGGCCUUCGGGUUGUAAAGCACUUUCAGUCGUGAGGAAGGUAGUGUAGUUAAUAGCUGCAUUAUUUGAC
RNAcentral lists this ribosomal RNA (465 nucleotides) under uncultured bacterium. RNAcentral describes it as "bacterial SSU rRNA". It matches the Rfam family "Bacterial small subunit ribosomal RNA", at positions 30 to 473 of the family's 1533-position model. The record is from RNAcentral.